Molecule: long non-coding RNA, 927 nt
Filed under: Helianthus annuus (common sunflower)
Lineage: Eukaryota; Viridiplantae; Streptophyta; Magnoliopsida; Asterales; Asteraceae
Description: hypothetical non coding rna
Source: RNAcentral
UUCCGAACAACCAACAAACCACCACUUACUACUACUCUCACUCAAACCACUAACGACGUCGUUUGCAGUCUCCACUGCCCUACUAGUACUCGGUGGUUCAUCUUCCACAACACGACUGCUGCUGCUGUUCGGCUUUGAACGCACAACCGCAUCCUGUGUGUUUGCAGUAGUAGUGUUACGACUUGAAACCCUAGGGCUUUUGGGAGGUUCCGAUCGUUUGAAGCUUGGAGUGUCGAAUAUGAUGUUGAUUGCAGCAGUUGCGUCAUUGUUCGCCAUGUGAAGAGCUCUGACUACAUCCAUUUUUGAGUAAUCUGGACCUACGAUCGAUUGAACUGUUGCGAUCAGUUCAUCGGUGAUUUUGUUCCCCAUUUACAGUGAAUAGGGAAAUUUUUCUAAACCCUAACCCUAAUUGAAAUGAAAUUAAGCUAAUGGAUUAUGAGUUCUUGUGAAGCGAUUGAGAAUCUGACAUAAGAAGAACAGGGUUUUAGGGUUUGAUAAACCCAGGUGAGGUGGAUCUUCUGGUGAAUGAAAAUGGCGCUUUAUCUUCUGUUUGUUGAAUUGAAUCAAGUGAGAUGUAAUGUAAGAAAGAUAUGGUCUUGACCACUUUGGAGUAUGUGCAUCUAGGGAUAGCUUGGUACCGAAAGUACCCGUAUCUAAAAUCACUAAUUAAAAUACUGGUACCGAAAAUGUUAGAUAUAUUACGGUAGCUAUAUUUGUGUGUAAAAUUCGGUAAAAUACUGGUACCAUACCGAAAAUACCGGUGCCGGAAACUCCAAAAAAUGGAUAUCGAAUUGGUGCCGAAAAAAAAUUGGUACCUGUACUAAGUCCCAUAUACUCAUCCUGUAAGGCUCCGCAUUAUCUAUACUUGCCAUAUUUAAAACGUUGUAUUCACAUUUCUAUAUAACAUUGUAAUUCGUAUUUUGUUUU